CAGUGGUAUCUGGCAGAUACUUAGCUACUUCCGUAAGUGCAACUCGUGGUGUGAGUGAUUAGUUUGCUGACUAGUCAAGGCAAUUAGUGCGAAACCGUUGUGAAAUUAAUGCAAUGCUUCGGAUUUCUGUAUUUCUGCUGCUUUAGCAUAAAAUAUUAGUUGCAUUAAUAAUUUGUCAAGCGAUUGUUGAUAAAAAGUGUGACAGCCGAAGGGAAUUCAUACGCAACUGAUCAGUUGGUUCAAUAAUAAUGCUUGGCGUAGACUAAAUUCGCACGCUGUGCAUGAAAAGCCACCAGCCGUUUCUUCUUUUUGUGAAAAAGAAAAUAAAAAUAAAGCGAUACUAUCAACAGCGAGCUACUGUCUCAAGACGUUUAAAGCCAGCAAGUCAUGGUAUGAUUGCUUGAAAUUAGCGCAGCAUGUUGUCAUGCCAAUCUUACGGCAGGAGGUUGACCAUAUAAGAAUAUUAAAUAAAUUAUGGAAGAGAAAAUUAAUAAGCAUGUGAAAGAAUGACGAUUAUGUUGAUAAGGAAAAUUAUGAAAAGAAAUAUGAAAGAGCUUUUGCAUAAAGCAAAAAUAAAACGAAAAAGCAAAACAAAAUAAAAUAAAAAAUUAAAAAAAUUAAAAAAAAAACAAUUUUUUAAUUUUUUUUACCCUUUUUCAAUAUAUUUAUAAUACAGUUUUUUAAAUAUUUUUUGUAA
Bactrocera neohumeralis is the source of this 697-nucleotide long non-coding RNA. RefSeq lists it as uncharacterized. The transcript has 2 exons. The record is from RefSeq and is a predicted model, not a curated record. NCBI's taxonomy places the organism in Eukaryota, Metazoa, Arthropoda, Insecta, Diptera, Tephritidae.